GAUGAACGCUAGCUACAGGCUUAACACAUGCAAGUCGAGGGGCAGCAUUUCAGUUUGCUUGCAAACUGGAGAUGGCGACCGGCGCACGGGUGAGUAACACGUAUCCAACCUGCCGAUAACUCGGGGAUAGCCUUUCGAAAGGAAGAUUAAUACCCGAUGGUAUAAUCAGACCGCAUGGUCUUGUUAUUAAAGAAUUUCGGUUAUCGAUGGGGAUGCGUUCCAUUAGGCAGUUGGUGAGGUAACGGCUCACCAAACCUUCGAUGGAUAGGGGUUCUGAGAGGAAGGUCCCCCACAUUGGAACUGAGACACGGUCCAAACUCCUACGGGAGGCAGCAGUGAGGAAUAUUGGUCAAUGGGCGCAGGCCUGAACCAGCCAAGUAGCGUGAAGGAUGACUGCCCUAUGGGUUGUAAACUUCUUUUAUAUGGGAAUAAAGUUUUCCACGUGUGGAAUUUUGUAUGUACCAUAUGAAUAAGGAUCGGCUAACUCCGUGCCAGCAGCCGCGGUAAUACGGAGGAUCCGAGCGUUAUCCGGAUUUAUUGGGUUUAAAGGGAGCGUAGGUGGACAGUUAAGUCAGUUGUGAAAGUUUGCGGCUCAACCGUAAAAUUGCAGUUGAUACUGGCUGUCUUGAGUACAGUAGAGGUGGGCGGAAUUCGUGGUGUAGCGGUGAAAUGCUUAGAUAUCACGAAGAACUCCGAUUGCGAAGGCAGCUCACUGGACUGCAACUGACACUGAUGCUCGAAAGUGUGGGUAUCAAACAGGAUUAGAUACCCUGGUAGUCCACACAGUAAACGAUGAAUACUCGCUGUUUGCGAUAUACAGUAAGCGGCCAAGCGAAAGCAUUAAGUAUUCCACCUGGGGAGUACGCCGGCAACGGUGAAACUCAAAGGAAUUGACGGGGGCCCGCACAAGCGGAGGAACAUGUGGUUUAAUUCGAUGAUACGCGAGGAACCUUACCCGGGCUUAAAUUGCAUUUGAAUAUAUUGGAAACAGUAUAGCCGUAAGGCAAAUGUGAAGGUGCUGCAUGGUUGUCGUCAGCUCGUGCCGUGAGGUGUCGGCUUAAGUGCCAUAACGAGCGCAACCCUUAUCUUUAGUUACUAACAGGUCAUGCUGAGGACUCUAGAGAGACUGCCGUCGUAAGAUGUGAGGAAGGUGGGGAUGACGUCAAAUCAGCACGGCCCUUACGUCCGGGGCUACACACGUGUUACAAUGGGGGGUACAGAAGGCAGCUACCUGGUGACAGGAUGCUAAUCCCAAAAGCCUCUCUCAGUUCGGAUCGAAGUCUGCAACCCGACUUCGUGAAGCUGGAUUCGCUAGUAAUCGCGCAUCAGCCAUGGCGCGGUGAAUACGUUCCCGGGCCU
Molecule: ribosomal RNA, 1359 nt
Filed under: uncultured bacterium
Lineage: Bacteria
Description: bacterial SSU rRNA
Rfam family: Bacterial small subunit ribosomal RNA
Source: RNAcentral